Lolium perenne is the source of this 1064-nucleotide long non-coding RNA. RefSeq lists it as uncharacterized. The record is from RefSeq and is a predicted model, not a curated record. NCBI's taxonomy places the organism in Eukaryota, Viridiplantae, Streptophyta, Magnoliopsida, Poales, Poaceae.
UUGUGUUGCGGCAGGACUCGCUGGUGACGGAUCUUAGGGGAGCAGGAUGAGGGGGGCCGCGGCAGGGCCACAACUGUGGCGGGAGGAGGAAGAGGUGGCCGAGCUUGGCAGGGGCUACUCAGCAAUGCGUACGGCCGCUGCAGCGAGCUUCCUGAGAAUGCGAGGACUCAAUGUAUUUAAGGCAAAACAGAUGUUCUUGAAUAUGCUGAAAUGGCGUCAAUAUUGUGUUUGUUAAUGCCAUUGCAAAGGCUGAGUGAAGGCCUGGCGCAGGUUCCCGGAAUGACAGUGAUGAUCCAGAGCAUCCGUUAGACCUGUGACGUGAGGCUACCAUAGGCAUCAGCAAGAUUAUACCUGCCUAAUUUUAUGUGCAAGCAGCGCCAUCAGCAGUUGUCUCGCGCUCUCACGCUGUCAUUUAAUACGUUAUGUCUCCAUGUGUUACUGCAAAUCAGGUAUUUUCCUUUCUUUCUUUUGUUGCAUCUCUAGGCUCACAGUUCUAUUUUUACCUUUCUCUCUGGGUAAGUAGUAGUGAUUUUAGUAGAAAAUAAUAUGUUGAACAUGAAAUAUUGUGCUUUCAGUUAAAGAACUAAUAUAGAAGAUUAUAGAUAUAUUAGUUAAUCCCCUAUUAGUUUCUUGGAUUGACGAAUCAUCCAGGCAUCAUGCUAGAUGGUAAAACAAAAGGAUUUUUACAUGCAUGUUCAUCUGAUCUGCCUUGAAGUGAUUAUUUCCCACCUUGUUUUAUCUCACGACCAAUUAUAUUAUAUUUACUAUGUUACAUCAAAGUAGAUCCUUCUGUUUAACAUCGACCAUCUCUAUUUAAUCCCCCAAUAGGUCAAGCUAUGCAAACUAGCCAGUACCUUCUCAGUUGGCAAGUUUUAAAAGGUAGGAUGCUAUGGGAAAUUGAGAGAUGGAUGUCGCCGCUAUCAUGAGAUCGGCGUUUGGGGCUACCUCAACAGCGUUGUUGAUCUGCAGCAGCUCAGAAAGUAGUAUGACCAUGUUAGUUGGGAUAAAAUGCUAGAGUGACAAUGCUGAUGCAGCCUCAGACCACCACAAAAGAUAUAGGUACC